This 444-nucleotide ribosomal RNA is filed under the name uncultured bacterium. RNAcentral's name for it is "partial 16S ribosomal RNA". It matches the Rfam family "Bacterial small subunit ribosomal RNA", at positions 339 to 795 of the family's 1533-position model. The record is from RNAcentral.
CUACGGGUUGCACCAGUGGGGAAUAUUGCACAAUGGGCGAAAGCCUGAUGCAGCAACGCCGCGUGAGGGACGACGGCCUUCGGGUUGUAAACCUCUUUUAGCAGGGAAGAAGCGAAAGUGACGGUACCUGCAGAAAAAGCACCGGCUAACUACGUGCCAGCAGCCGCGGUAAUACGUAGGGUGCAAGCGUUGUCCGGAAUUAUUGGGCGUAAAGAGCUCGUAGGCGGUUUGUCGCGUCUGCUGUGAAAAUCCGAGGCUCAACCUCGGACCUGCAGUGGGUACGGGCAAACUAGAGUGCGGUAGGGGAGAGUGGAAUUCCUGGUGUAGCGGUGGAAUGCGCAGAUAUCAGGAGGAACACCAAUGGCGAAGGCAGAUCUCUGGGCCGUAACUGACGCUGAGGAGCGAAGGCGUGGGGAGCGAACAGGAUUAGAUACCCCAGUAGUC